Molecule: ribosomal RNA, 258 nt
Filed under: uncultured bacterium
Lineage: Bacteria
Description: partial 16S ribosomal RNA
Rfam family: Bacterial small subunit ribosomal RNA
Source: RNAcentral
GUAUCCCUACGGGACGCAGCAGUGGGGAAUAUUGGGCAAUGGGCGCAAGCCUGACCCAGCAACGCCGCGUGAAGGAAGAAGGCCUUCGGGUUGUAAACUUCUUUUGUCAGGGACGAAGAAAGUGACGGUACCUGACGAAUAAGCCACGGCUAACUACGUGCCAGCAGCCGCGGUAAUACGUAGGUGGCAAGCGUUAUCCGGAUUUACUGGGUGUAAAGGGCGUGUAGGCGGGAGAGCAAGGCAGACGUGAAAUUACAG